GCUGGGUGUGGUGGUGUGCACCUGUAGUCCCAGCUACUCAGGAGGCUGAGGUAGGAGGAUUGCUUGAACCUGGGAGGUGGAGGCUGCAGUGAGCUGACAUCAUGCCAUUGCACUCCCGCCUGGGCAACAGAGCAAGACCCCAUCUCAA
Molecule: non-coding RNA, 148 nt
Filed under: Homo sapiens (human)
Lineage: Eukaryota; Metazoa; Chordata; Mammalia; Primates; Hominidae
Source: Rfam by way of RNAcentral